CCGAUAUAGCUCAGUUGGUAGAGCAACUCAUUCGUAAUGAGUAGGUCGGGAGUUCGAGUCUCCCUAUCGG
Molecule: transfer RNA, 70 nt
Filed under: human gut metagenome
Rfam family: tRNA
About the family: Transfer RNA (tRNA) molecules are approximately 80 nucleotides in length.
Source: RNAcentral